AAUUUAAUAGUAAAAAUAGGUUUCGGCAGAUAUCUGUUAUCUUCCGAUUAAAAAGGGAAGUGGGUGAAAAUCCCACGCGGUCCCGCCGCUGUAUAUAGAGGAGUUUUUACAAAAUGCCACUGGGCAACUGGGAAGGCUGUAAAAAUGUUGAUACUUGAGCCAGAAGACCUGCCUAUUUUCACAUACCGAA
Molecule: non-coding RNA, 190 nt
Filed under: Desulfosporosinus youngiae
Lineage: Bacteria; Bacillati; Bacillota; Clostridia; Eubacteriales; Desulfitobacteriaceae
Also listed under: 1 other name
Source: RNAcentral